UGUUAGCAUCUCAGGGCUCAUAGCU
RNAcentral lists this non-coding RNA (25 nucleotides) under Mus musculus (house mouse). Lineage: Eukaryota; Metazoa; Chordata; Mammalia; Rodentia; Muridae. The record is from RNAcentral.